UCUUUAACUGCCUCUGGGCUAGCGCUGACCCCGAAAGCAAACAGGAAUAGGAUUCCAGGGGAAGGGACACUCCACCUGGGGGCCACCUGGAGUGGGCCUCGGGUAGGGGUGGGGGCAGGUGGGAAGGCUCUACCUCAGGGCCCAGCAGGCAGCCGGGCUGAUGGUGGAGAAGGCCACUGGGUUCCCAGUUCCGGGCCCUGUGGCCCCCAAGGCAGAGGCAGAUUUCAGGGCCAGAGCCCAAAGCCCAGCAGGGGUUGGGGGCAGGGGCUGCGGCUGGGGCUGAGGUCCCCACCACAGCCAGAGGGCAAAGGCAUCCCGGCAGAAGGCAGGGGAGGGGGCGCUUCCUCCAGAAAUCCGCUGGGCUAUUGUUACACUUUCCGAGGCCAGGGAAUAUUUCCAGGAGGUUGUGACAACCAAAAAAAAAAUAAUAAUAACGCCCCUCCCCCAGCAGCAGGAAUUCUGGAAAAAACAGCUGCUGCUGUGUUCGGGCCGAGAAAAAAACCAGGUCAGGCGCCGCGGAGAUCUAAUUUAAGGCGCGCACCGCCCUGGCUGCCCGGGUGCGGGGUUCGGGCCCAGAGGCUCCAGCCCCAGCCUGGGGCGCAUCCAGGCCGCCGGGUCCAGGCCGCCCACGGGGCCCUGGGGGAAGGGAAGGGGGCUGUGCCCCGGGAGGCUGGGACGAGCAGGGUGCUCAAGGAAGCACCCAGUACGUGGGGGAACGGGCAGGGCCCGCUAACGGGAAGCCCAGGGCGCGGGCUCCGGGCGGGCCGGCUGGGCCUGGAGGCUCCCCGGGCUGCCCCCCACCCCGGCCGCUCGGGCCCGCGGGGCAGGGCGCCGAGGGUCCCGCGAGCCCCGGUCUCUGGGGAGCGCAGGCGGGUGGCACGCGGUGGCACGGCCGGGCCUGCUCGGUCCCCAGGGUCCCCGCGGGCCCUGCCGGGCGGGGGGGCGCGUUUGCCCGCGUGGACGGCCCGAGACUCCGGAGCCCGUGCUGCGCUCUCGACACCGCGAAGGACCCAGAGGAGCUGGGGGGAAAGGGCGCCGAGUGCGCGGUACCGGGUGGCGCCGGCGGGAGAGGCCACGGGGGACACAGGGCGGCAGCUCCCGCCGCUCCUCCCCUGCUCCCCCCGCCCCCGCCCGGGUGUGAGUUCCUGUCUCUGGGGCAGAAAUCAACAAACAAACAAUUCUCGGUAUUUCCCAAACUGGGGAGCCGGGGAGUGGGAAGGAAGGAUGGGGGUGGGGGGGAGACAGGGUCGAACCCGUUGUGUGUGUGUUUUUUUCUUUUUUACUUUAAAAAAUUAUAUAUUUUAUGUCACAAUCACUUUUCGUUAA
Molecule: long non-coding RNA, 1326 nt
Filed under: Canis lupus familiaris (dog)
Lineage: Eukaryota; Metazoa; Chordata; Mammalia; Carnivora; Canidae
Description: lncRNA (ENSCAFG00040000931.1)
Source: RNAcentral